GGACGCUUAGCUCAGUUGGUUAGAGCAACCGGCUCAUAACCGGUCGGUCCUGGGUUCGAGUCCCAGAGCGUCCA
This 74-nucleotide transfer RNA is filed under the name Blautia sp. BCRC 81119. RNAcentral's name for it is "tRNA-Met". It matches the Rfam family "tRNA". From Rfam's summary of the family: Transfer RNA (tRNA) molecules are approximately 80 nucleotides in length. Their secondary structure includes four short double-helical elements and three loops (D, anti-codon, and T loops). The record is from RNAcentral. RNAcentral also lists the same sequence under 3 other names. Lineage: Bacteria; Bacillati; Bacillota; Clostridia; Lachnospirales; Lachnospiraceae.